This 433-nucleotide ribosomal RNA is filed under the name uncultured bacterium. RNAcentral's name for it is "partial 16S ribosomal RNA". It matches the Rfam family "Bacterial small subunit ribosomal RNA", at positions 29 to 507 of the family's 1533-position model. The record is from RNAcentral.
AACGAACGCUGGCGGCAUGCCUAACACAUGCAAGUCGAACGAGACCUUCGGGUCUAGUGGCGCAAGGGUGCGUAACGCGUGGGAAUCUGCCCUUCGGUUGGGAAUAACUGAGAGAAAUUUCAGCUAAUACCUUAUAAUGUCUUCGGACCAAAGAUUUAUCGCCGAGGGAUGAGCCCGCGUAGGAUUAGUUAGUUGGUGGGGUAAUUGCCUACCAAGCCGACGAUCCUUAGCUGGUCUGAGAGGAUGAUCAGCCACACUGGGACUGAGACACGGCCCAGACUCCUACGGGAGGCAGCAGUGGGGAAUAGUGGAAAAGGGGCGAAAGCCUGAGCCAGCAAGGAAGCGUGAGUGAUGAAGGCCUUAGGGUUGUAAAGCUCUUUUGACCGGGAUGAUAAUGACAGUACCGGGAUAAUAAGCUCCGGCUAACUCAGUG